ACGAACGCUGGCGGCGUGCCUCAUACAUGCAAGUCGCACGAACCGCGACUGAGUGCUUGCACUUGGUCAAGGUGAGUGGCGAACGGGUGAGUAACACGUGGGUAACCUACCUCAUAGUGGGGGAUAACAGUCGGAAACGACUGCUAAUACCGCAUAGGACAUGGAAUCACAUGAUUCUGUGAGGAAAGGUGGCGCAAGCUAUCGCUAAGAGAUGGACCCGCGGUGCAUUAGCUAGUUGGUAGGGUAAGGGCCUACCAAGGCGAUGAUGCAUAGCCGACCUGAGAGGGUGAUCGGCCACAUUGGGACUGAGACACGGCCCAAACUCCUACGGGAGGCAGCAGUAGGGAAUCUUCCGCAAUGGACGCAAGUCUGACGGAGCAACGCCGCGUGAGUGAAGAAGGUCUUCGGAUCGUAAAGCUCUGUUGUUAGAGAAGAACAGCGCAUAGAGUAACUGUUAUGCGUGUGACGGUAUCUAACCAGAAAGCCACGGCUAACUACGUG
Molecule: ribosomal RNA, 501 nt
Filed under: uncultured bacterium
Lineage: Bacteria
Description: partial 16S ribosomal RNA
Rfam family: Bacterial small subunit ribosomal RNA
Source: RNAcentral